AACGAACGCUGGCGGCAUGCCUAACACAUGCAAGUCGAACGAGACCUUCGGGUCUAGUGGCGCACGGGUGCGUAACGCGUGGGAACCUGCCCUUAGGUUCGGAAUAACUCCCCGAAAGGGGUGCUAAUACCGGAUAAUGUCUUCGGACCAAAGAUUUAUCGCCUUUGGAUGGGCCCGCGUUGGAUUAGCUAGUUGGUAGGGUAAAAGCCUACCAAGGCGACGAUCCAUAGCUGGUCUGAGAGGAUGAUCAGCCACACUGGGACUGAGACACGGCCCAGACUCCUACGGGAGGCAGCAGUGGGGAAUAUUGGACAAUGGGCGAAAGCCUGAGCCAGCAAGGCCGCGUGAGUGAUGAAGGCCUUAGGGUUGUAAAGCUCUUUUACCCGGGAUGAUAAUGACAGUACCGGGAGAAUAAGCUCCGGCUAACUCCGU
Molecule: ribosomal RNA, 432 nt
Filed under: uncultured bacterium
Lineage: Bacteria
Description: partial 16S ribosomal RNA
Rfam family: Bacterial small subunit ribosomal RNA
Source: RNAcentral